GAAAUGCGAUAAGUAGUGUGAAUUGCAGAAUUUAGCGAAUCAUCGAAUCUUUGAACGCACAUUGCGCCCCUUGGUAUUCCAUGGGGCAUGCCUGUUCGAGCGUCAUUUCAACCCUCAAGCACUGCUUGGUGUUGGGCGUUUGUCCCGCCUACGCGCGUGGACUCGCCUCAAAGUCAUUGGCAGCUGUUCCCCUUCGGCUCGUAAGCGCAGCACAGUCGGCUCCCGGAGCUCUGGUGGGAUGGCGUCCAGCAAGCUAUAUUUUCAGGCUUGACCUCGGAUCAGGUAGGGAUACCCGCUGAACUUAAGC
RNAcentral lists this unclassified non-coding RNA (307 nucleotides) under plant metagenome. RNAcentral's name for it is "partial contains 5.8S ribosomal RNA, internal transcribed spacer 2, and large subunit ribosomal RNA". The stretch from base 1 to 105 matches the Rfam family "5.8S ribosomal RNA", at positions 50 to 154 of the family's 154-position model. The record is from RNAcentral.